CGAGCGCACUCUUCGGAGUGAGCGGCGGACGGGUUAGUAACGCGUGGGAACGCGCCCUUCUCUAAGGAAUAGCCACUGGAAACGGUGAGUAAUACCUUAUACGCCCUUCGGGGGAAAGAUUUAUCGGAGAAGGAUCGGCCCGCGUUAGAUUAGAUAGUUGGUGGGGUAAUGGCCUACCAAGUCUACGAUCUAUAGCUGGUUUUAGAGGAUGAUCAGCAACACUGGGACUGAGACACGGCCCAG
This 243-nucleotide ribosomal RNA is filed under the name uncultured bacterium. RNAcentral's name for it is "partial 16S ribosomal RNA". It matches the Rfam family "Bacterial small subunit ribosomal RNA", at positions 63 to 334 of the family's 1533-position model. The record is from RNAcentral.